This 42-nucleotide non-coding RNA is filed under the name Schistosoma margrebowiei. The record is from RNAcentral. Lineage: Eukaryota; Metazoa; Platyhelminthes; Trematoda; Strigeidida; Schistosomatidae.
AUCCAGCUGAGUCCCAUAGAGGACGAAACGCGCGUCCUGGAU